UAACCAUUGAUGGAAUUCUAUUGAGUACCCCUAGCUUUUGAAAAGGAAUUCGUGAGCAUGGCCGUUUAGGAUCUCUUUAUUUUUUUGUUUUGCUAUAGUUCAUUUUUCAAAUCGUCAUUAUUUUUUCUUUUUUUUUUCUUUUGACUCUCCUUUUGCUUGAAGAAAUCUGAGGACAUUGUAUAUCCAAUUAGGUGAUACAUUUAUUCAUUUUAACUUUGAAGCAAUCUGUCUUACUAUUAACAUGUUUAUAUUUUGCAUUAGCCGGAUAAAAUACUUCGAUGACAUGGUAGAGAGGAUGAAUGAUCUCGAGUCGGGGAACGUAUUUACUUAGGUCGGGAUGCGAGAGGAAAGAUAAAGAUUUUAUGGAGAUUUAAGAGAUAAGGUGAGUGGGGUCUUUUUUUCCGCUUGGCUGUAUAGCGUGAUUGAGUUUUUCAGUCGUGUCUAUGUUCAAGUUCAUGAUAUUCUGUGGUUGAUUUUGUUAAUUUCACACGUUUCACUACCAUACAGUGUGUUGACAGAAACUCCGCGUUAAGGUUUAUUAUAGGAAAUUUUUCGACUCCUCUUUUCCUAUUUUUUAUUGUCUUUUGUGACGUUUUUAUUUUUUUUCUUAUUAUCCUCCUCCUUUCUAAGUAUUUCUUUUACUUGGGUUUUCAUUUGUGCUUUUAAUUUAUGUUGUUGAGGUAUUUUGCGCUUUUGCAUGGAUGGACAUGGGUGAGACUUUAUUAUUUCAAACUUGGUGAAUAUGUGCUGCCUUGUUGGUUGCAAUGUGUGAUGUUUAUUCAUGUAGGGGAGUGGAGGAGGAAUGGAAAAUAGGAAAGAGUUGGUGGUGGGGAGUUUGAAUGGAACAAAAAAAUAUUGGGUCUGGCCAUGUAAAUGUGUUUUAUUAUUAGGAGUUGGAGGCAUUCGAUGGUUUACAGAAGUCAUAGAAAUAAAUAUCCCGUCUAAUCGCUCAUCUAUUAAAAUUAAUAGUAGAAUGCAGUUUCAUAUCCGGGAGAAAUUC
This is a small nucleolar RNA of 1000 nucleotides. It matches the Rfam family "Small nucleolar RNA snR86".